GAAUUGCAGAAUUCAGUGAAUCAUCGAGUCUUUGAACGCACCUUGCACCCUUUGGUAUUCCGAAGGGUAUGCCUGUUUGAGUGUCAGUAAAUUCUCAACAACCCUUUCUUAAUUGCAAAGGGAGGUUGGAGGUGGAAGCUGCUGGAGCCUUUCUUGGUAUCAGCUCUUCUGAAAUACAUUAGCGGUUAACCGAGUACCUCGGCAAUGCCUCAAGCUGUGAUAAUUAUCCCAAGUUUGACGUGYUGAGAAUCAGUURUCGGGCUGGAGGCUUGUCUUGACAUGCCUUUGACUUCUCUAUCAACGAGAUAACUAUGCGACUCUGAUUGGGACGGGGUUGGGCUGAAGGGUUGUUUGUUACUUAACUAAANCUUACUCCCUUUGCCUUCUUUGUUGUUAAACAGACAGAGAUACAUAUCCAACUCACUGGUAUGGCUGCUUCUAACCGUCUUUGAAAAACAAGACAAGUCUUAUUGACCAUUGACCUCAAAUCAGG
Molecule: ribosomal RNA, 493 nt
Filed under: Cyptotrama asprata
Lineage: Eukaryota; Fungi; Basidiomycota; Agaricomycetes; Agaricales; Physalacriaceae
Description: eukaryotic LSU rRNA
Rfam family: 5.8S ribosomal RNA (bases 1-86)
Source: RNAcentral